AAAAAAAAAAAAAAAAAAACAAGCAUUAAAACGCUUAGUUACCAAAAGCAUGUAUACCCAUGUGAAAAGACGAUAAGAUAGCUUCAGAAGCAGCCUUUAGAGGACCAUUGAUGAACCUACCAGAAUCAAGACGGAAACACACCUAAGUCUAGUAAGCAGCUCUGCGUCU
RNAcentral lists this non-coding RNA (169 nucleotides) under Heterosigma akashiwo. Lineage: Eukaryota; Raphidophyceae; Chattonellales; Chattonellaceae. The record is from RNAcentral.